GGUCUAAUGGUCUAGUUGGUUAGGACGUCGGAUUCUGAAACGAGAGUUCCGUAAGCCCAGGUUCGAAUCCUGGUUAGACCU
RNAcentral lists this transfer RNA (81 nucleotides) under Scedosporium apiospermum. It matches the Rfam family "tRNA". Rfam says of the family: Transfer RNA (tRNA) molecules are approximately 80 nucleotides in length. Their secondary structure includes four short double-helical elements and three loops (D, anti-codon, and T loops). Further hydrogen bonds mediate the characteristic L-shaped molecular structure. tRNAs have two regions of fundamental functional importance: the anti-codon, which is responsible for specific mRNA codon recognition, and the 3' end, to which the tRNAs corresponding amino acid is attached (by aminoacyl-tRNA synthetases). tRNAs cope with the degeneracy of the genetic code in two manners: having more than one tRNA (with a specific anti-codon) for a particular amino acid; and 'wobble' base-pairing, i.e. permitting non-standard base-pairing at the 3rd anti-codon position. Lineage: Eukaryota; Fungi; Ascomycota; Sordariomycetes; Microascales; Microascaceae. The record is from Rfam by way of RNAcentral.